GAUGAACGCUGGCGGCGUGCCUAAUACAUGCAAGUCGAGCGAACAGACGAGGAGCUUGCUCCUCUGACGUUAGCGGCGGACGGGUGAGUAACACGUGGAUAACCUACCUAUAAGACUGGGAUAACUUCGGGAAACCGGAGCUAAUACCGGAUAAUAUAUUGAACCGCAUGGUUCAAUAGUGAAAGACGGUUUUGCUGUCACUUAUAGAUGGAUCCGCGCCGCAUUAGCUAGUUGGUAAGGUAACGGCUUACCAAGGCAACGAUGCGUAGCCGACCUGAGAGGGUGAUCAGCCACACUGGAACUGAGACACGGUCCAGACUCCUACGGGAGGCAGCAGUAGGGAAUCUUCGGCAAUGGGCGAAAGCCUGACGGAGCAACGCCGCGUGAGUGAAGAAGGUCUUCGGAUCGUAAAACUCUGUUAUUAGGGAAGAACAAAUGUGUGAGUAACUAUGCACGUCUUGACGGUACCUAAACAGAAAGCCACGGCUAACUACGUG
Molecule: ribosomal RNA, 497 nt
Filed under: uncultured bacterium
Lineage: Bacteria
Description: partial 16S ribosomal RNA
Rfam family: Bacterial small subunit ribosomal RNA
Source: RNAcentral